Leptidea sinapis is the source of this 445-nucleotide long non-coding RNA. RefSeq lists it as uncharacterized. Lineage: Eukaryota; Metazoa; Arthropoda; Insecta; Lepidoptera; Pieridae. The transcript is spliced from 3 exons. The record is from RefSeq and is a predicted model, not a curated record.
ACCAGAUCUCUGGUUCGCGGUUUUUUCCUUAUAAAAGCACCCGUUUUCAGAAACAUUAACACACAAAGUUUCUUUAUCGCUCUAGUACGGUUUCGUGUGAAAAUAUUUACAAUGAAUAAAACUUUGAUUGUUGCUUUGGCGCUGAUCGCCGUUGUAGUCGCAACUCCAGGUUACGGUGGACAAAAUCAGAACAGCGGACAUGGUCAAAGUGGACAACACGGCGGAUUUGGUGGACAAAGCCACGACCAAGGCUUCGGUCAGGGCGGACACGGCGGCGGCCAAGGACACAAUGGCGGAUAUGGACAAAGUGGACAUGGUGGACAAGGCGGACAUGGCGGACAAGGAAGUCACGGUGGACAAGGUGGACACUACUAAAAAUAAUCGAGUAUUCAAUUGCUGUUAUGUGAAUUCUUUAUGAAUAAAUAAGUUUGCGCUAUUCACAAAA